Long non-coding RNA from Clarias gariepinus (North African catfish), 1530 nucleotides. RefSeq lists it as uncharacterized. NCBI's taxonomy places the organism in Eukaryota, Metazoa, Chordata, Actinopteri, Siluriformes, Clariidae. The record is from RefSeq and is a predicted model, not a curated record. The transcript is spliced from 7 exons.
UCUCUGAUUGGCUGGCUACAAGAAUCCUCGUCGGUGAUUGGCCAGCAGUAACAGGAGAAGCGCUUCCGCUAAGGGGCGGGACCUUAGAGGGACCGUGCACAUAUAAGGCCUCGCUAAGAGGCGGGACUUCCUUUAAGACACAGCUGCAGGUGAUUUAAUACAGCGGGGUUUUAAUCCUCGGAGUUUGUAAAGUAAUAUAACACAUGCCGAAUUAAUAUCGAGUUUGGACUCUCUGCACCCUGGAGAAGAGGACAUCGGUGUCGGAAGCCGCUGCCAUAUGAAAGUCUGAUUAAAACAUGAUGAUGAGGAGGAGGAGGAAGCCCAGUCCACUGGAGGAGGCCACACACUUCAGCCUUAAGAAGGAAGAUCAAGAUGGUCUGGAAGCUCGGUUUAUAAAUGAGUUUAAAGGGAGAGGUGUGUUUAGUUGUACUGACUUUGAUAAGGGAGAUUUCCUAUUGGGGUACAGAGGGGAUCUCAUAAGCAGAGAAGAAUGUGAGCGGAGGCGAAGAAUAUAUCAUGAUGCCCUCAAAGUGUUCAUGUAUGAAUUUCGAUUCAAUGGCAAAUUCCUUUGUGUUGAUGCAGCCCUGGAUGAUGGCUCCCUUGGGAGACUGGUGAAUGAUGACCAUAUAAAACCAAACUGCAGAAUGAAGACCAUCCGUGUGGAUGGUAACCCUCAUCUUUAUUUGCCAUAAGAAGCAUCUGUCCUGGUGAAGAGUUCACAUACAAUUACGGCGAUUCUGAGUGGCCAUGGCGAUGCAAGAUGACAUCAUUUAAGAAUUCACCGACACCAGAACAACAGGAUACAUCAGAUAAAAAGGCAUCCAAGAAGUUGAUGUGAGAUUGUGACAGUGUGAAGCCAGUGGACCUGAUGCUGAAGAUAACGUUCCUGCUGGUGCCUCUAAUCAUGUAGGUAUUCAGAAGAUGCCCACUGAAACACCUCCUGAAGUUUCUCAAGGUACCUGAGAUUUUACAUUGGAAUAUAGCCAGCAAUGUAAGUACAUGAACCUCCCACAAAAUUCAGGCUUAAUAAAGUAAGUAUUCUUAUGUACAGGUAAUGAGUCCAGGACAAAGAUUGGGAACCCAUGAAUAAGUUGAAGAGUGUGUUGGUCCAAUGCUGAGAUUUUUUUACAACUGUGAUGAAACUUUUGAAAGCACAUAUAACUAAAGGGAAACUCGGCACUUUGUCUGAAUGCCAGCAGUGUUAGACUUUGUAAGAAAUGGAGGUCUUUGCUUGAAAAGGAAAGCCCAAAAUAAGUGAUACACAAGCAAGUACGUUAUUUCUUUGAGAUUUUUUUGUCCACUUAUUUUGUUUUUCAUUUACAUAUGCAGCAGAUUGUUUUUAAAUUCUACAGUUGUUCUUAAAUUCUGCUUUAACAUUUUAUUUUGAAUAACUGGUUUAGGUUUCAUCUUAUGUUUUAUUGAUUAUAUAUAUAGCUAUGCCUUGUUUUAUUUAGAUUGUUUUGAAUGGUUCAAUGGAUUAAGAUGCCUAUGAAAGUACAUAGUUGUACAUGAUGGAUGUCUGUUUCUUCA